Molecule: ribosomal RNA, 484 nt
Filed under: uncultured bacterium
Lineage: Bacteria
Description: partial 16S ribosomal RNA
Rfam family: Bacterial small subunit ribosomal RNA
Source: RNAcentral
AUUGAACGCUGGCAGCAGGCCUAACACAUGCAAGUCGAGCGGAUGAAGGGAGCUUGCUCCUGGAUUCAGCGGCGGACGGGUGAGUAAUGCCUAGGAAUCUGCCUGGUAGUGGGGGAUAACGUCCGGAAACGGGCGCUAAUACCGCAUACGUCCUGAGGGAGAAAGUGGGGGAUCUUCGGACCUCACGCUAUCAGAUGAGCCUAGGUCGGAUUAGCUAGUUGGUGGGGUAAAGGCCUACCAAGGCGACGAUCCGUAACUGGUCUGAGAGGAUGAUCAGUCACACUGGAGCUGAGACACGGUCCAGACUCCUACGGGAGGCAGCAGUGUGGAAUAUUGGACAGUGGGCGAAAGCCUGAUCCAGCCAUGCCGCGUGUGUGAAGAAGGUCCUCGGAUUGUAAAGCACGUUAAGUGGGGAGGAACGGCAGUAAGUUAAUACCUUGCUGUUUUGACGGUACCAACAGAAUAAGCACCGGCUAACUUCGUG